GAAUAGGGCAUGCAGUACAAGGAACAGUACAUCAGAGCUGGAUUACACAAGAUCAGAAAUGAAACUGUAAUCAAAAGGCUGGCUGGUGGUGAUGUCAAACCAGGAAGUAGACAGACAGCACUGAGGAGUUGAGACCCAGGAACUGCCGCUACCAAGCCAACACACACCCCCGAGCACUUCCUUCACUACGCAAUCAAAACACCAGCACCACGACUCCCAGGAUUUAAAGAGCACUGUGGACGUGGACUGGGGAUUUGUUGUAUCUUUUGUUUGGGUCUACAAGCCCGCCAUGUACCCCCCGAUACCAUCGCUGGUAGAGGGGCGGCCCUUUUUGUUAUUUAUUAAUAAACACAGACUUUUUGGGAG
Molecule: long non-coding RNA, 366 nt
Organism: Acipenser ruthenus (sterlet)
Lineage: Eukaryota; Metazoa; Chordata; Actinopteri; Acipenseriformes; Acipenseridae
Exons: 3
Source: RefSeq, a predicted model, not a curated record